Molecule: RNA transcript, 1494 nt
Organism: Armigeres subalbatus
Lineage: Eukaryota; Metazoa; Arthropoda; Insecta; Diptera; Culicidae
Exons: 3
Source: RefSeq, a predicted model, not a curated record
GGCAACCUGAAAUAAAUGAAGGGGAAACUUUAACUAAAAUAACUAAAUUUCAACAUCCAACCAUUUUACGAGAUUGGAGAAGGCUCAACAAGUACACGCUGGGAACUAUCGAAGGAUCAAUUCGUUUCCUACCUUACUCUAAAAGGAAUCAAUAAUCACGAGGACAUGUUUAACGCAGUAAUGUGCUUCGGAGGAUCGGAUGUUCGUAAGAUAGCGCGAGAUGUCAGUGUCAGCGAAUCGGCCAUUCUCGACAACCGUUACAGGAAAGCAAUGGAGAUAUUGGAUAAUUAUUACUCUCCACGGAUGACGCAAAGGUAUGAGCGGUUCAUGUUUCGUCAGCUGGUUUUCAACCCAAACGAAAAAAUUGACCAAUUCGUGAUUCGUUUGAAGGAGCAGGCCGCUCAAUGCAGUUUCGGUGACCAGGUUGAAGAAAUGAUCAUGGAUCAAGUCGUGUAUGCCACACAAAACGAUGAUAAGCUUCGCGCCAAAUACCUGGAGGCUGAUACCAGUCUUAUCAAGAUGCUAGAUAUUGCACGUACUCACGAAUCAGUUAAAUCACAACUUCAGGAGCUUCGCGGGAAAUCCAUCCCUAUUAUCGAUUUGAAUGCGGUAAGUGAAAGUGACAAGGACGCCAAACAUAGUAGGAUUUCCAGCGAUGCUCGGUGUCCAGCUAAAGCUGUUCAAUGCGGAAAAUGCGGUGAACUAGGAUAUUUUGCUCGGUGCUGUAAAACGCCGCAUUUUAAGGAUUAUAACCGAUCAACACAGAAGCCAACUUUGAACAGAAGAAACAACCGUCAAGAACGAAAAGAGAAAUUUGUGCGUGAAGUGGACGACGUAACAAAGUCUGUUGAAAUCUGAGAGCUAUUUCAUUUGGAAGGUAAACGCUUUGUUGAAGCUAUUAUCGGCGGGAUUAAAUUGCGGUUUGUUAUCGACAUGGGAGCCGACGAAAAUGUUUUAAGCGUUGAAGAUUGGAAAACACUCAAACGUACGGAUUCAAGACUUUUGAUGUCAGGAAAGGAAGUGAAAAAGUUUUUCGUGCAUAUGGAUCGAUGAAACCGUUGACUGUUCUAGGCGAAGUCGACGCUAAAGCUACUGUUGGGGAAAAAUAUUGCGAUACAACACUGUUUGUUAUCAUGGAUGGUAGAUGUUCAUUACUGUCGGGUGAAACUGCGGAAUCACUAGGAAUCAUCAAAUUUCUUCGUACCGUCUCUAAGGAAGGGCUACCAUGUAUCAAAGGUAAUACCAAGGGGAAACAAAUCUACAUGACAGGCGUUCGGUUUUACAUUCCAUACUGGAGAUCACGUAAGCUGCACAGAAACUACAGGAUUUACGAAUAUAAACUAUUGAAUAUUUCAACAAGUAACCAUAACUAACGCGCCAAGUCAAAUCGAACACUCAUUUGAAAUCUUUCAUAGCUAUCUUUUUUUUAGGUUUGGAACAGGAAUUAAAGGUUUUUUUUUCACAUCUAUUAUGCUUGCUUCUAUUGAAUGCAAA